This 467-nucleotide ribosomal RNA is filed under the name uncultured bacterium. RNAcentral describes it as "partial 16S ribosomal RNA". It matches the Rfam family "Bacterial small subunit ribosomal RNA", at positions 28 to 507 of the family's 1533-position model. The record is from RNAcentral.
GACGAACGCUGGCGGCGUGCUUAACACAUGCAGGUCGAACGGAAAGGCUCCAGCUUGCUGGAGUACUCGAGUGGCGAACGGGUGAGUAACACGUGGGUAAUCUGCCCUGCACUCUGGGAUAAGCCUGGGAAACUGGGUCUAAUACUGGAUAUGACCUUUCUCCUUAUGGGGUUUGGUGGAAAGUUUUUCGGUGUAGGAUGAGCCCGCGGCCUAUCAGCUUGUUGGUGGGGUGAUGGCCUACCAAGGUGACGACGGGUAGCCGGCCUGAGAGGGUGAUCGGCCACAUUGGGACUGAGAUACGGCCCAGACUCCUACGGGAGGCAGCAGUGGGGAAUAUUGCACAAUGGGCGGAAGCCUGAUGCAGCGACGCCGCGUGAGGGAUGACGGCCUUCGGGUUGUAAACCUCUUUCAGCAGGGACGAAGCGUAAGUGACGGUACCUGCAGAAGAAGCACCGGCUAACUAUGUG